GACGAAUGCUGGCGGCGCGCUUAACACAUGCAAGUCGAGCGAGAACCGGUCCUUCGGGACCGGGGAAAGCGGCGAACGGGUGAGUAACACGUGGGUAAUCUGCCCUCGGCAUCGGGAUAGCCCGGGGAAACCCGGAUUAAUACCGAAUGGCCCUUUCGGUCUUCGGAUUGAAAGGAAAAGGUAGCUUCGGCCUCCGACCGAGGAUGAGCCCGCGGCGGAUUAGCUUGUUGGUGGGGUAACGGCCUACCAAGGCGACGAUCCGUAGCUGGUCUGAGAGGACGAUCAGCCACACUGGGACUGAGACACGGCCCAGACUCCUACGGGAGGCAGCAGUGGGGAAUCUUGCGCAAUGGGCGAAAGCCUGACGCAGCGACGCCGCGUGCGGGAAGAAGGCCUUCGGGUUGUAAACCGCUUUCAGGUGGGACGAAGCCACUCGGGUGAAUAGCCUAGAGGGUGACGGUACCUCCAGAAGAAGUCCCGGCUAACUACGUGCCAGCAGCCGCGGUAAUACGUAGGGGACUAGCGUUGUCCGGAUUUAUUGGGCGUAAAGAGCGUGUAGGCGGCCAAAUAGGUCGGUUGUGAAAACUGGAGGCUUAA
RNAcentral lists this ribosomal RNA (597 nucleotides) under uncultured soil bacterium. Its description in RNAcentral is "bacterial SSU rRNA". It matches the Rfam family "Bacterial small subunit ribosomal RNA", at positions 28 to 612 of the family's 1533-position model. The record is from RNAcentral.